GUCGAGCGUCCGGUUAAAGCCGCUGAAUUGUUCGCGUUUACCUUGCGUGUACGCGCAGGAAACACUGACGUUCUUACUGACGCAGAAGAAAACGUGCGUCAAAAAUUACGUGCAGAAGGAGUGAUGUAAUGUCUAAAGGUAAAAAACGUUCUGGCGCUCGCCCUGGUCGUCCGCAGCCGUUGCGAGGUACUAAAGGCAAGCGUAAAGGCGCUCGUCUUUGGUAUGUAGGUGGUCAACAAUUUUAAUUGCAGGGGCUUCGGCCCCUUACUUGAGGAUAAAUUAUGUCUAAUAUUCAAACUGGCGCCGAGCGUAUGCCGCAUGACCUUUCCCAUCUUGGCUUCCUUGCUGGUCAGAUUGGUC
RNAcentral lists this ribosomal RNA (360 nucleotides) under uncultured prokaryote. RNAcentral describes it as "partial 16S ribosomal RNA". The record is from RNAcentral.